RNAcentral lists this ribosomal RNA (313 nucleotides) under uncultured bacterium. RNAcentral describes it as "bacterial SSU rRNA". It matches the Rfam family "Bacterial small subunit ribosomal RNA", at positions 28 to 334 of the family's 1533-position model. The record is from RNAcentral.
GAUGAACGCUGGCGGCGUGCUUAACACAUGCAAGUCGAACGGACUCAUAUUGAAACCUAGUGAUUUAUGAGUUAGUGGCGGACGGGUGAGUAACGCGUGGAUAACCUGCCGUAUACCGGGGGAUAACACUUAGAAAUAGGUGCUAAUACCGCAUAAGCGCACGGUUCCGCAUGGGGCAGUGUGAAAAACUUCGGUGGUAUACGAUGGAUCCGCGUCUGAUUAGCUAGUUGGCGGGGUAACAGCCCACCAAGGCAGCGAUCAGUAGCCGGCCUGAGAGGGUGGACGGCCACAUUGGGACUGAGACACGGCCCAA